This 1479-nucleotide long non-coding RNA is filed under the name Marmota monax (woodchuck). The record is from RNAcentral. Lineage: Eukaryota; Metazoa; Chordata; Mammalia; Rodentia; Sciuridae.
GCCCUCCUGUUUCGAUCCUCUUUCCAGAUUUCUCCUUCUACCUCCAGAAUCCUGAAUCCAGAGCGGUCAGAGCAUAACCAUGAGAGGAAAGUGGUUUCUCUAUAAACAGCACUUCUCCGUGAGCUGGGGGUGGGGCCCGGAGCCCACCUUCAUCUGGAACCAUCAAUUGCUGUGAGCCAGCAAUUCUCAGGGGUCACCUUCUACCCCAGGGCAUCUGUCCAGUGAGGUCCCCACCGGCACUGUCACACUCCCAGCUGUCGCUCUUUGAGCAGAGGGCAGUCUUGGAGAGGCCCCGGGACAGUGUGGAGCAUGUGGGAGAUGUUUUUUAGAUAGAUUAUUAACAGUUCAGAGAAUGAGCUAGUUUGUUGGUACAUCAGCGUGGAUGUCCCUGUCUUUGUUUUACUCUUGAAGUUAAUGGCUUCGUGUUUUGUUAUUUGUAAUAUACGAGGGCCUUCACAGCAGAGCCCACUAAACUUUGAAAGUGUUGCAACGUUGUUGUUACAUUUCCUGCCAUUGCUUUUUCUUCCAAGUGAUAUAGGAUUAAAAUCCCAGCUCUCAAAAUUAGGAUGCACUGUAAAGUUUAGAACUAACACUUCAACCCCCACCCCCAUUUCUAUAUUACAGUUGAUGUUUGCAGUGGUAGAACAUUGCAUGGUGUGUGUGUGUGUGUGUGUGUGUGUGUGUUCUUAACCAAAGAGUUCAUGUUGAAUACACGUUGGAAAACGAAAGUGCACAGUAUUUUAGAGCCCUGCAGGCCUUUAGCUUUAGCAGUUAUGAAGGGCUGAAGGUUGUCGUUGUAAAGAGUAUAAUCUGAGGAUUUUGGUGUAGGCUGAGAACUCUGGGAGAUAGUAUUCCCGUUUGGCUUUGUACUAAAUGUCAUUAGCUGCAGUCGUUUAAAAUAAGAACAAGAAGUUGAAUAUUAAUUGUUUAUAAACAUGCAAACUACUAAGCCCAGUUUGGUCCACACUGAGGUAAGAUUUAUGGUGAACAUUUUCACUUUGUAGCUAAGGUUUUGUUUGUUUGUUUGUUUGUUUUUUAAUUAGAAGUGCAGAUCACUUUGUUAGUCUUGGUAAGUGUAAAAUGAAAACUGUAUGUGUGAUUUGGGAAAUUCAUGAAGCAGAACAGUUCUUCAGAGGCAAGUGGAAUAUUUUAAGACUUAGAUUCUUUCAGAUGUCCAUCAGCACCCAGGCUUGCUGCAGAACUAUUUCUGCAUUAUUUAAUCAUUGCCAUUGACAUUCACACAUGCCCGUAUCCUACCUGCAGACCAAAUGAGCUGCCUUCAGUGGGUUCUGGCAUUCCUGAGCUCUUUUCAAAACCUGUGGAUUUUGGUUGUCCUUGAACACAGUCAUGCUGUAUAAUUACAUUGUUUCCUGUAAUUAUCUUGAAAUACAGAGCUAAGCAGCUCAUUAAAAGCUAUAGUUUCCAGCAUGGAAAUAGAUGUUUUUAAGUAAUCAUAACCUGUUGAUGUGCCUUUGAGGG